This 479-nucleotide ribosomal RNA is filed under the name uncultured bacterium. Its description in RNAcentral is "partial 16S ribosomal RNA". It matches the Rfam family "Bacterial small subunit ribosomal RNA", at positions 28 to 507 of the family's 1533-position model. The record is from RNAcentral.
GAUGAACGCUGGCGGCGUGCUUAACACAUGCAAGUCGAGCGAGAAGUUUUGAAAAGAUUCUUCGGACGAAAUUUAAAAUGGAAAGCGGCGGACGGGUGAGUAACGCGUAGGCAACCUGCCCCAUACAAAGGGAUAGCAUUUGGAAACGAAUAUUAAUACCUUAUGAAACUUAACUAGUGCAUGCUAGGUAGGUCAAAGAUUUAUCGGUAUGGGAUGGGCCUGCGUCUGAUUAGCUAGUUGGUGAGGUAACGGCUCACCAAGGCGACGAUCAGUAGCCGACCUGAGAGGGUGAACGGCCACAUUGGAACUGAGACACGGUCCAAACUCCUACGGGAGGCAGCAGUGGGGAAUAUUGCACAAUGGGGGAAACCCUGAUGCAGCAACGCCGCGUGAACGAUGAAGGCCUUUGGGUCGUAAAGUUCUGUUCUAGGUGAUGAAAACUGACAGUAACCUAGGAGAAAGCCCCGGCUAACUCCGUG